UUUUUUUUUCUCCUUUUAUUUUUCAUCUGCACCUUUACAAAAAAAUUACAUCACCGCACUGCCCUUUACAAAAAAUAAUGAUUUUUCCAUCUAUGCGAACGAUCGGGGUAGGAAUCCAAAGUCUUGCACCUUAUUUGGGAAGAAACCAAAAGCCGUGCGGCAUUAGGUCGGGAGACAGAGAAAAACAAUCGGAAUACUCGUUCGUAAGGCUCAAUGUACAGCUCAAGGCACAAUCGCUCGAACGAAACAACUCGAUCAAGACUAGAAGGAGAAAGCUGGGAGAUAGCAACGCCAGUGUACAAAAGAAAAGACAACAAAAAGGGGGAAGCGGGAAGCCGAAGCCCUAGAUCCUCGAAAUCCGAGUAAAGAGCGGUGUAACCAGAAGGAGGCGAAGAGGCAGAGUCACCAUCAGGAACCUUAAGGUGAGCUAUAGCUACACCAGGGGCGAUCCCACGAAAAUGAUGACGGGCCUAUCGCCGACUAAGAACAGAAGGAGGAUUUUCAGUAGGGGUUAUAGAGUUACCGUCAAACUGCAUACCAUCCACGAAGGAGUUAAGAUCAGCCAUAGGAGAAGACGCGGUAGUCGGCGAAAGAAAAACCCAUGUUCUGGUAAGUGAAUGAGUGAAAAGGUAAGAAGUGAAAAUGAGAGUGAAAAAUAAAUUUAUAGAAGAGCGUUGGCGGGAAAUAAAAAAAAAAGAGGAAAUUUGAAACGUAAAUUCACAUACCCCAAGGCCAGUGAGACCGUACGGCAAGGUGGGGGCAGCCCGCAUAGAAGGAAGGCGGCAAGAGCCGAAUGACCACAUAUCCCAAGGCCAGUAGGUCCGUACGGCAGGGUCGGGACAGUCCAGCCCAUGAGUCAUGUACAACCCGGAUGCUCAAGGGAGGCAGAGCAAAGAGACCGUAGGGCAAGCACCUGAACAGAAUCAGCCAUAGAAAUGAAUGAGAAAAACUACGAAGUCCUAAAGGAGUAGAAGUUAUACCUGCUGAUCGAGCAGCCCGUAUGGAAGGCAAGCGGCAAGAGCCGAACGGCCACAAUACCCGUGAAGAAUAACAGACGGUCAAAUGAAAUUCGAAAGGAAUUACCAAACCCCUGAUCGGCAAACGGUUAGGCCCGGGAAUAAGAGAUUAAGCAAAAAUAAUAAGAAAAAUCCGAGGGAAAAUGAAACUAUUUUUUUCAUAGCAAGGGGGCAGGAAAUUACAUCACUGCAACUGUAUCAAAAACAAAGCUCAAAGUACGGUGGUAAAGUAUCAGUACGUAAAGAUAAAAGAAAAUACGCUAUCUCGUUCACAGAUGAAGUCAUAAGAGCUGCAGGGGGACAAAAGAGAAAUAUCCAAGUACAUAUUAAAAGCACAAUAAAAACAGGCCCCCAUGAAGGAGACAUUCAUGGUCGGCCCGCGUGAGAGAAAAUGACGAAGGUCGGUCGGGG
This 1427-nucleotide long non-coding RNA is filed under the name Zostera marina. Its description in RNAcentral is "long non-coding RNA (ZMAR_LNC001593)". The record is from RNAcentral. Lineage: Eukaryota; Viridiplantae; Streptophyta; Magnoliopsida; Alismatales; Zosteraceae.